This 301-nucleotide ribosomal RNA is filed under the name uncultured bacterium. Its description in RNAcentral is "partial 16S ribosomal RNA". It matches the Rfam family "Archaeal small subunit ribosomal RNA", at positions 459 to 759 of the family's 1478-position model. The record is from RNAcentral.
CAGCAGCCGCGGGAAUACCAGCAGCCCAAGUGGUGGUCGCGUUUAUUGGGCCUAAAGCGCUCGUAGCCUGGCCGGUAAGUUCCCCGUGAAAUCGGGUCGCCCAACGAUUCGGCUCGCGGGGAAUACUGUCGGUCUUGGGGCCGGGAGACGCCGAGGGUACUCCGGGGGUAGCGGUGAAAUGCUGUAAUCCUCGGGGGACUACCAGUGGCGAAGGCGCUCGGCGAUAACGGGCCUGACGGUGAGGGGCGAAAGCUGGGGGCGCGAACGGGAUUAGAUACCCCAGUAGUCCCUGUCUCUUAUA